GAAAAUGUGAAAUAAAUUACACUAAUUGAAUCUUAUUUUUUCCUUUCAGACACUGUCUUUAGUCCACAUGUCAAAGACAAUUAUAUUCUCUAGAAUCCAAGGAUUUUCUUCUGAAUGUUCUACUUUGAUCAGCCCCCAGCCAAGUGCUUCACUGGAUGUAGAAGAUUUCAGCUGGGGUGGAGAGCCAGCCUCAAUUUGCAGCUCCCAGAAAAUCCUCCUGUGCUUGAAGUUUCCUUCAGUGGCCACAGCGCAAUCACAGCCCCUCAGUCCACGUGCUCUGCAGGGCAGGAGGAUGCCAGGGAGCAGCAGGGCUGGAAUUCAAUCUGGAACGUGCAGAGGAGCCCAAGGAGGCAUUGAGGCACAAAACCUUCAAUAAUGACCAGCACAACAGCCCCAGCUGCAGAGCAGCCUUUGAUCCGUGGUAUGCUCCCAGGGAAUGCUUGUUAAGGGAAGAGGGACUUCUGUUUGCAUCUGCUGCAGUCGGCCCAAAGCAGAUUAAACACUGAGCAAAACUGGCCAGAUCUUGCAUCCUGAUGCUCACAGGUAAGUGCUCCUUUGUAAUGAGAGGUG
This 570-nucleotide long non-coding RNA is filed under the name Zonotrichia albicollis (white-throated sparrow). RNAcentral's name for it is "lncRNA (ENSZALG00000015321.1)". The record is from RNAcentral. Lineage: Eukaryota; Metazoa; Chordata; Aves; Passeriformes; Passerellidae.